Molecule: ribosomal RNA, 497 nt
Filed under: uncultured bacterium
Lineage: Bacteria
Description: partial 16S ribosomal RNA
Rfam family: Bacterial small subunit ribosomal RNA
Source: RNAcentral
GAUGAACGCUGGCGGCGUGCCUAAUACAUGCAAGUCGAGCGAACGGACGAGAAGCUUGCUUCGCUGAUGUUAGCGGCGGACGGGUGAGUAACACGUGGAUAACCUACCUAUAAGACUGGGAUAACUUCGGGAAACCGGAGCUAAUACCGGAUAAUAUUUUGAACCGCAUGGUUCAAAAGUGAAAGACGGUCUUGCUGUCACUAAUAGAUGGAUCCGCGCUGCAUUAGCUAGUUGGUAAGGUAACGGCUUACCAAGGCAACGAUGCAUAGCCGACCUGAGAGGGUGAUCGGCCACACUGGAACUGAGACACGGUCCAGACUCCUACGGGAGGCAGCAGUAGGGAAUCUUCCGCAAUGGGCGAAAGCCUGACGGAGCAACGCCGCGUGAGUGAUGAAGGUCUUCGGAUCGUAAAACUCUGUUAUUAGGGAAGAACAUAUGUGUAAGUAACUGUGCACAUCUUGACGGUACCUAAUCAGAAAGCCACGGCUAACUACGUG